This is a long non-coding RNA of Triticum dicoccoides, 1017 nucleotides long. RefSeq lists it as uncharacterized. The transcript is spliced from 6 exons. The record is from RefSeq and is a predicted model, not a curated record. NCBI's taxonomy places the organism in Eukaryota, Viridiplantae, Streptophyta, Magnoliopsida, Poales, Poaceae.
CAUGCAAAAGGGUCAAAUCCCUAGCCGCCAACCUUCCCCGUCAAGCCUGCGGCCCCUCCGCCUCGUCUCCUCCCCGUCCCUCCUCUCCAACGCCGCCGCCCUCGAUGCGCCAUUAGGGCGCCGUCGACACGUCAGGGAUACACCGUGAUGGAGCUCAGCCCGAGCCCAGCAGAAGCCACUCCUAACCAUGUUCGCUCAAUUGACAAGAGAAGGGCAGCGGAUUGGAUCGAGGGCACCCGCAUGGCCUCGCCGCCGCUGUCACCUGGAUUCGCUAGCCGCCGCCUUGAGUCACACCCGUCGCCGCCACGAGUCAGCUCCAUCAUUGCUGCAAGGAAUCUCGUCCCCGGCAAGGAAAAUUCCUAGGGAUUUUAUUGACGGAGGCAUCACUAUCUGGUGCUGGAUUAUCCAUUUUUGCAGCACUAGCAAUGCUAUGUCGCUCAUGCCAAGCAUCGUUUCACAUUCAGGGGGGUUUACUCUCCCUCAACGUAAGCGUCGAUGCAAUGGAUAUUGAUUUUGGCUUGGGUGCAAAUUGAGUACAGACGACUUUCUAGUUUAGGCAUCAUUUCGAAAUUGUUUGGUGUCCAUAAAUUUCCCAAUGAGCUUGGCCUGCACCAUGCUGCCUCAUGUAGGAUUUUGGCGCUCGUGAUCUUCCUUGCUUAGCAAACUACUAUGGUUGCUGAUCCAUCACACUAUUGACCAUGAACUUUGUGCAUCUCUGAGGUUAUUUUGCAUGAGGAAACGGAAGGAUAUCUUUGUCGUCAACACAUCGGUGUCUAACGCUGCUUCCUGUGUCACUGCGCCAGCAAAGUGCAAGAACAAACAUUAAUGUAUCAGUGUAGAUAAUUGUAUCUUUAUUUUUUCAUUGAUUUAAGAUACUCACAUAUAUAUGGUUACCAAUGCUCUACAAUACCCAUAUAAUUGUUGGUUCUAAUUGGCUUCUCUACCAGAGAGUCAAGCCACAACUUUGACAAAUCUGCUAUCAUGUUCAGUAAAAAUACCAAGAAUGAUGUUCGGAAA